GACGAACGCUGGCGGCGUGCCUAAUACAUGCAAGUAGAACGCACAGGAUGCACCGUAGUUUACUACACCGUAUUCUGUGAGUUGCGAACGGGUGAGUAACGCGUAGGUAACCUGCCUGGUAGCGGGGGAUAACUAUUGGAAACGAUAGCUAAUACCGCAUAAGAACAUUUACUGCAUGGUAGAUGUUUAAAAGGUGCAAAUGCAUCACUACCAGAUGGACCUGCGUUGUAUUAGCUAGUAGGUGAGGUAACGGCUCACCUAGGCGACGAUACAUAGCCGACCUGAGAGGGUGAUCGGCCACACUGGGACUGAGACACGGCCCAGACUCCUACGGGAGGCAGCAGUAGGGAAUCUUCGGCAAUGGGGGGAACCCUGACCGAGCAACGCCGCGUGAGUGAAGAAGGUUUUCGGAUCGUAAAGCUCUGUUGUUAAGGAAGAACGAGUGUGAGAAGGAAAGUUCAU
Molecule: ribosomal RNA, 462 nt
Filed under: Streptococcus intermedius
Lineage: Bacteria; Bacillati; Bacillota; Bacilli; Lactobacillales; Streptococcaceae
Description: bacterial SSU rRNA
Rfam family: Bacterial small subunit ribosomal RNA
Source: RNAcentral